Triticum aestivum (bread wheat) is the source of this 2205-nucleotide long non-coding RNA. RefSeq lists it as uncharacterized. The transcript is spliced from 2 exons. NCBI's taxonomy places the organism in Eukaryota, Viridiplantae, Streptophyta, Magnoliopsida, Poales, Poaceae. The record is from RefSeq and is a predicted model, not a curated record.
CAGUGCUCGGCCCGUGCGCUUACAGUUCCCAGCCCACGAAAAGGUUCCCAGAUGCAUUCGGUGCCGACUGCCACCUCUCCGUCUCUGUUUUUCUCCCCUGCUCAUGCCUCUCUCUCACUCCCUCGCCGGUUCGGAUCCACACCACGGCCACACCUUCCGAUCAGCAUGGCCUCCCCUAUGCCCCUCCUCUCCAUCACUCACGAUCACCACCCUAGCAUGGAGCCCAGCCGUCUGCACAUCUUAUUUCUCCUCCCUAGCAGAGUAGAUCUGGAUCGGGCUCCUUUCUUCCUGCACCGUUCCCGGUACGCCAACCUCCACCACUGCCUUCUCUACAUUCACCUCCUCCUCCUACGACCCGUGCUACAGCAGCAGCGUCCCACCAUCCCCCAACCAUCACCUUCCUCCCCCAUUUUGUGACCCGUCGACGGUGCCACGACCAGGACGACCACCACUUCUGGAGCGGCCGAGUUCUGCCCGAGAAGGCGACACCGCACACCGACAAAUCAAGUCGAGCCGACGGAGCAGAGCUCCGUGAGGAGGAGGAGCUCCAUGCGGCCGCGACGCCCAAGGAAGGAGCAGCUCCGGUGCAGGCUGUCUACAGUCGCCAUCGGAGCGGGGUGCUGUUGCCCGCUCCCCAAAUCUCUCCGCCCCCUUCGGCUGCGUUGGGAUGUAGCACUGGCGCUUGUCGUCCUCUUCGUGCACCAAUACUUCAACGGGGUCGCGGACAUAGGCAAAUGGAGAAGGCCGGCGUAAAGCCGGGUCUCCUGUACUCGUGGUUGCUUCGAGGUCGAGUUGGUUGCUACAAAUCAUAGACUGGAACAACACUGGAUGUACUGGUGGAUUGGAGUCCCCUGUUUUAGUGCUUGGUGCUCUCUCCUUUGCUCUGACAGUGGUGACCGGCUGCAAGCAGAUGAAUUUGUGUAAGGAAGAAGAAUGCAAGCUAGUGAAUUAAAAGAAGCUUGAGACUCUGAUUCCUGUUGGGCCAAGCUACUUCCUUUUAUGAAUGGGUCAAGUCUUAAAUUGUUAGUCGAGUACACAUAUUUUUCAAGGUGGCUGGAGUGUGCUCAUAUGAUUAGGUAGGUAUAUUGUUGAAGCAGUAUCCCUGUUCCAAAUCAGUGACACAAUCUAACACUGGUACGACUCAACCCAAUCCAUCAGUAUGCAUGUAAGUAUGAGAAUUUUCAUGCCAAAAAUUGUUCUCGAUUGUUAGUAAUUGUUAUAUAUGUAUCUCAUUUCUGCGCAAUAGUUUGUUAGAUAACCAAAACAGCUGUAACUUCUUCCUAACCGUGUCACUUAUUUACAUUUCUUACAAGUUUUAUUUCAUAGUUUUUGUUUGCACCUGUAACAUCAGUUUCAGUUUUCACUAAUUCAGCCCAAUCUUCAGCCUGACGGUCUCUAUUUCAUCAGUCUUCAGUAUACCAUUGUUUAUUCUAGUAUUUCAGCAAAUACUCUUCAUUUUUUCAGUUAAUGGUGGGUGGCUGCUUUCUCUGCUACUCCUUGUACCUGCCUCGGCCACCAUUACCUUCGCGGCAUUCUGCAAUUGUAAAUGAAACAUGCAAGUUAUACCCCUCAUGGUGGUCUAGUGUCACAGAAACCUUUCUCCGCCAUUUGUGAGAACCUUGAACGAUCAUAUGUGUUCACUCUUUAUAUUGGAUGGGGCACCUUUGAUACCAUGAACGUUACACCCUCGAUUCACUAGAUGGCAAAACAAUGCAUUUUAGGUGCGACAAAACAAUGCAUUCAUCCUCAUUUUACCAUGUUGUUUGUGUAGAGCUAAUCAUGCAUUACUUUUGGCAAGCAGAUCAAAACCAUCAAACCAGGCCUUACUACCACGCCCAAAUUCAACUGGUCAAUGCCCCCUUUCUCUUUGCAUUGCCAAGCCCACCGGACAAAAUGCAUGCAUGUUUCCUCAAUAAGCAAACACGCAUGGCUGGUAGGAGUACACGAGAAAGGGCGCUCUGAAAUUUGCUUCAGUUCCUCUGAGCGCUCACAAACAAACAAAACAUUUUACUUCUGGCCACGGACCGUCUGCCAGCAGCCCUGCCAGUCUUCCCUCGGUUCACGCGACAAGGCAGUCCAUACACCAUCCACAUGUGAUCAGUGGGGCUUUUCACAAGUCUUUCUAGUGGAAGCAUAUUUAUUUACAUGUACCCAGUUUGGUUGGGCAUUAUAAAGUAAAUAAGGAAAUAUGUCACUUGUUUUAAA